Molecule: non-coding RNA, 80 nt
Organism: Athelia sp. TMB
Lineage: Eukaryota; Fungi; Basidiomycota; Agaricomycetes; Atheliales; Atheliaceae
Source: the annotation of a GenBank genome assembly
GACCUGAUGGCGCAGUGGCAAGCGUAUCCCACUUGACUUUUGUUGCAGGGAAGACUCCUGUUCGAUUCAGGAUCGGGUCG